CGGUUUUUUUGAUGAUGUAGAGUUGGUUGUCGCUGGCCCUUUCGGGGGUAUGUGCACGCCUUCUCUUGAAAUAAACACCUGUGCCUUGUGAGACGGAGGGCUUUAAUUAGUCUUCCGUCUAUUCAACCACACAAACUCAUUGUAUUUAAACUGAAUGUAAUUGAUGUAACGCAUCAUUAUUACUACCUUUCAACAACGGAUCUCUUGGCUCUCGCAUCGAUGAAGAACGCAGCGAAAUGCGAUAAGUAAUGUGAAUUGCAGAAUUCAGUGAAUCAUCGAAUCUUUGAACGCACCUUGCGCUCCUUGGUAUUCCUUGGAGCAUGCCUGUUUGAGUAUCAUGAAAUUCUCAAAGUAAAUCUUUUGUUAAUUCAACUGGUUUUACUUUGGACUUGGAGGUCUUUGCAAAAUUUCCGUCUGCCUCUCCUAAAUGGCUUAACUGGAAUCCAAUAUAUGGUUUGUUCCCCUCCGCGUGAUAAAGAACCAUCCCCGAGGAACACGGAAAAAGGGGCCAAGAAAUUCCGAAGAACCGCUUCCUAUAAGCCAAUAAGUUUGAUCAUUUAAUUUUAAGAUCUGAUCUCAAAUCAGGUAGGACUACCCGCUGAACUUAAGCAUAUCAAUAAGCGGAGGAAA
This 630-nucleotide ribosomal RNA is filed under the name Ceratobasidium sp. AG-G. RNAcentral's name for it is "eukaryotic LSU rRNA". The stretch from base 185 to 338 matches the Rfam family "5.8S ribosomal RNA". The record is from RNAcentral. Lineage: Eukaryota; Fungi; Basidiomycota; Agaricomycetes; Cantharellales; Ceratobasidiaceae.